Long non-coding RNA from Gadus macrocephalus (Pacific cod), 564 nucleotides. RefSeq lists it as uncharacterized. NCBI's taxonomy places the organism in Eukaryota, Metazoa, Chordata, Actinopteri, Gadiformes, Gadidae. The record is from RefSeq and is a predicted model, not a curated record. The transcript has 2 exons.
AAUUUCUUUAACGCAUUAACGCAUGCGCCAAAUGACCCGCCCAAUAUUUCCCGCUCUGCACUUGUCGCCGCUAUUUGCCGCCGCUAUUUGCUGCUCUAGAGUUUUGGCUGAGACACAAGAUGGAUACAGAACCGAAAGAAGUUGUUGGCCCUCUGGAUGGAAAGUUUGAAUAUAAAAAAAACAAAGACGGAACACUUAAUAAACAAGCAGUGAUUUGCACACUCUGCAAGAAGGAGUUUUCGUUUCACCGAAGCACUUCCAGCCUAAAGUACCAUAUCAACGCUAAGCAUGCGUUUGUCGGCGCUUCAAGUUCUGGGGCAAGACCAGGGGGCUUGCUUCAAACAACGCUCACCGAAGGCCGUGCAUUAAGUAAGUCUAUUUCUGAGAACUUGACCCAAAAAAUUGCCAAAUGGAUUGCAAAAGACUGUUGGCCGAUUAAUAUUGUCGAGGACAAGGGCCUCGCGGAAGUGUUACAAGUUGCUUCACGCGACGCAUUCUACAAGCCACCGUCAAGAGGCACAGUAAUGACUAAAAUCCACGACCUCUACAAAACGGAAAAAGAAA